RNAcentral lists this long non-coding RNA (792 nucleotides) under Marmota monax (woodchuck). Lineage: Eukaryota; Metazoa; Chordata; Mammalia; Rodentia; Sciuridae. The record is from RNAcentral.
AAAAUGUAAAUAUAGGAAUUCUUCCUUCUUGUCCCCUUUUUAAGGACUCAUGUUAUUCAUUGGGAGAUUGGGAAUUGUUUAUGGGUUUUUAAAAAUUGCAACAAGUUUAAGGAUAUAAUUGACUUUUAUUAGAGAUUCUAGAAUUAGGAAGCAUCUCAUUCUAAAAAGAAUGAGUGCUCCUUUGAGCAUGACAAAAGAGUUGUUUUUUAUCAGGUGGAAAGAAGGAAAUAAUAACAUAAAAAAGUAGGUUGGCUAACAUCAGUUUGCUACAGGUUACUUUUCUUAAUAAUGGUUAAAGCAGAUGAGACUUCCUUAUUAACAUAGCUAGGGUUGACUAGGCCCUUCCAAAUAGUUACUGUGAACCUCCUGUUUUCAGAAGAAACUGAUAUGUUCAGGAGAUUUACCUGGUUCCUUAGAACUCCAGUUUAUGUGGCACUUAGCAUGAGUAACACCAUGUCAGUUUGAUUUGUUGGGGCCUAGUAUAGGAACUCAGUUCAAAUGACAGCCUUCUAUAAAUUUUAUUGAACAAUGGAAAGAAUGGAAGGAACUAUAGAAGAUAUUAUUGUUAAAUGUUUAAGUACAUGUUUCUUUGUGUGUGAAGUGUCUACUUAUGUGGUAACUUACUGGCAUCAUCAAGUCAAAUAACAACAAAAUCUUAGUUCUGAAAGCUGGAAUGGUUUAUGCCUUUUCACUCUUAUACCUAAUAUCCUAAGUAGCCACACAAAUUAAGAAAGAAUCCUGGCUGGGGGUAGUGGAUUGUGCCUGUAAUCCCAGCAGCUUGGGAGAGUGAGG